RNAcentral lists this long non-coding RNA (312 nucleotides) under Elaeis guineensis (African oil palm). RNAcentral's name for it is "long non-coding RNA (EGUI_LNC020103)". The record is from RNAcentral. Lineage: Eukaryota; Viridiplantae; Streptophyta; Magnoliopsida; Arecales; Arecaceae.
UUUUCAGCGAGAGAAGUAUGGUAGAGAACCUCUCCCACAUGAGCUAUUCGAGGUGACCCAUACUAGAAAGGCCAACGGUGAACUUGUUGAUGGAUGGCCAAAGAUGAUUUAUGUAAGUGAAUAAGCAUUUGAAUUGACUAUCUUUUAAUAUUUGUACUGUGAGAUAAAUUUUGAGGAUAAUAUUUGAUAAUUGAUAUGAUACAGGAUCGCUAUAAUAUGCUUAAGGAGCAGAUAUCUCAGCCACAAGAGGGAUGCAAUGAGCCUCCUACUGUGGAUGAGAGUCAGCUUUGGUAUGAGGCCAUUGGGGGAGAG